AGAGUUUGAUCCUGGCUCAGGAUGAACGCUAGCGGCAGGCCUAAUACAUGCAAGUCGAACGCUCAGUAGCAAUACUGGGAGUGGCGCACGGGUGCGUAACGCGUACACAAUCUACCUCUAAGCGGGGGACACCUACCUGGAAACGGGGAUUAAUACCGCAUAAUAUGCCGAGGUCGCAUGACUUUGGUAUUAAAGCAGCAAUGCACUUAGAGAUGAGUGUGCGUCCCAUUAGGUAGUUGGUGAGGUAACGGCUCACCAAGCCUAUGAUGGGUAGCCGGUCUGAGAGGAUGGUCGGCCACACGGGCACUGAGACACGGGCCCGACUCCUACGGGAGGCAGCAGUAAGGAAUAUUGGUCAAUGGUGGAAACACUGAACCAGCCAUGCCGCGUGGAGGAAUAAGGUCCUACGGAUUGUAAACUCCUUUUGACGAGGAAGAAAGUGUUAGAUUUAUCUAAUUUUGACGGUACUCGUAGAAUAAGCACCGGCUAACUCCGUG
Molecule: ribosomal RNA, 497 nt
Filed under: uncultured bacterium
Lineage: Bacteria
Description: bacterial SSU rRNA
Rfam family: Bacterial small subunit ribosomal RNA
Source: RNAcentral